ACUCUGAAUCCAGCGAUCCGAGU
RNAcentral lists this non-coding RNA (23 nucleotides) under Gallus gallus (chicken). Lineage: Eukaryota; Metazoa; Chordata; Aves; Galliformes; Phasianidae. RNAcentral also lists the same sequence under 2 other names. The record is from RNAcentral.